This is a long non-coding RNA of Podarcis raffonei (Aeolian wall lizard), 615 nucleotides long. RefSeq lists it as uncharacterized. The record is from RefSeq and is a predicted model, not a curated record. The transcript has 2 exons. Lineage: Eukaryota; Metazoa; Chordata; Lepidosauria; Squamata; Lacertidae.
UCACACACCAAGGCUCCAGUUGCAAGAGGAGCGGCAGAAUAGGAUGGCCUUUCUGAACUCCACAAACACCCAAUCGGCUGCCUCCAACUCUUGAGCAAAUCCCCCUUCCUUUUCACCUUCUAAAAAUGGGAAGUAGCAGAGGGUGCGCCGCCCCCGCAUGGAUGCAAAUACGCGAGCAAGUGGUGUCGCCACCGCAGUUCGGGGGUUUUGGUACUUAUUCCAUUGUUUUCCCCGCCUACUCCAUUGAGGCAGGCUUGUUUCUCCAUAAACUCGGAUAUGACGGUGACAGGAAAAGUCCCAUUAGUUUACAUGUUUACCAAGUGAUGUAAAAACGCUUUCUGGAACUGGUUGAGAAGUGUCAGCAGCAGAGAAUCCAACACAGCCAGGCCUCUCCAAGAACACCUAAGUCCCCUGCAAAAAAAAACACCAAUCCCCACCGACAAGGACAUGGAUUAAUCUUCCACAGCGGACAACAGCAUCUUUCUUCACAGAGAAACAUGAUGAACCCGUAGGGGCCCCUUACUUGUCGUCUAGAAGCAGCAAACCGCCCUCCUCCAGCUCUUUCACUUCCUCCGAUUCUCCAAAUGCAUCCCACAGGCUGAAGUCAGGGGCAAA